CGGAGCAAGUCCGGCAUCAAGGUUUU
This 26-nucleotide unclassified non-coding RNA is filed under the name Mus musculus (house mouse). RNAcentral describes it as "oocyte_clustered_small_RNA10217". The record is from RNAcentral. Lineage: Eukaryota; Metazoa; Chordata; Mammalia; Rodentia; Muridae.